UAACCCGUAGACCAGCGGGCCUUCGGCCUGGCUGGGCGGAAGUCCCGGGUUCGAAUCCCGGCGGGCCCGCCA
Molecule: transfer RNA, 72 nt
Filed under: Pyrodictium abyssi
Lineage: Archaea; Thermoproteati; Thermoproteota; Thermoprotei; Desulfurococcales; Pyrodictiaceae
Description: tRNA-Ala
Source: RNAcentral